UCAAUGCCAUAUCAGUCACCACAUCAAAACUGUUGAGAUUAAAUGAGGUCAGCUCUGGUUGCACUGUGUAAAAACAUAAUGUGUUUGCAGACAGAUGCAGAGAGUGGUUUCAUACACAUAUACUAUGGUCAGUGGUGUUAUACUUAAGGUGCACUGUCCAAUUGCAUUGUUAUGUAUAAAUAACAUAUUUUUACAUUGUUGGAUGGAUAAUUGUUUGUUAAACAAAAUAAAAUGUAUUUUGACUUAUUCUUUUACUUAUUGUAGACAAUGUCAGCUAAUUGUUCACAUGCUCUUUAUAUGUUUAAUGAAAUUAAUGAAUCUAUUUUUUAGGGGGGGAUUGUAAGUCUUGUAUUUGUGUUUCCAUGUAUGAAAUGUACAUUUUUUAUAAAAAGUUAACAUGUAUAAUGAUAAUAAUCGGUGGCUGAAUUGAUCCGUCAUAAUGUUAUUAGAGCUGGGUUUUGUUAAGAUGCACUUUUGUAUUGGAUGUUGUAAGUAAUUGAAAUUGUCACUAUGCUGAAUUUCUUCCACAGAAGAAUGAGAGAUGUGACUCGAAGAUUUAUUAGGCAUACGUAUGUAUUAUAUAUCCUGUUCAACACUCAGUGUCCUAUAGAGCCACACACGCACCACAAACCACUAUUAAGGACUGUGGAUUAUGAUUAAUCAACCCAUUGUUGAAUGUGUAAGUAUAUUUCACACUCUUAAAUGUUUGUUAUAGAGUAUGAUCUACUCAUUCACCGAAGGGACUUCUAUGUUUCACUAAAAUCCAAGCACAUUAAAGAUUUUAUGACUUUGUUUAUCCUUUUUACAGUCCAGAACAGCCGCGGUAUCCAAACGGUUGUGCAGAUGUGGGAGGAGCAUUUAACCUCAUUGAAACAUAACAAACUGCCAAGGAACAAAGAACCUGUGCUGUAUCCUGCAGUCAUGAUUGGAUCUCUGGAUCAGAGUUGGAGGUGACAGUCAGAGCAGGAGACAACAUCACUCUCUACUGUGACUGCAAGUUAUCAAGUGGAGUUUACGUAGUGUGGUACAGGAACUGCUCUCAUGACAACCAGCCUAUUCUUGUCCUUAAAAGAACUUCAUGGCCAAAAACCACUACGAUUGAAAACUUCCUGAAUCCCCUCCCUCGUUUCCACUUUGUGAGAAACUAUUCCUCUGACUCCUACGACCUGCUGAUCAGUAACAUCACUGACUCUGAUGAUGGCCUCUACUACUGUGGAACUGAAGAGAAUAAGCUGGAGGAUGAACAAUACAUUACUAGCAGAUCUGUUUACCGAUAUGGCAACACAACAAAAAGGAUCUUAUUCAAUUCCAGCUCUGAAUCCAGUGGAUGCAUUUUGAACCCUGGUGUGUCCUGGAUUAUGCUGUUCACUCCAGCCUUCACUAUUCUCUCCUCCUCCAUCUCCUUUAUUUUGGUGUAUCACUUCUUUCAGAAAACAGAUAAGGAACCUCAAAUUCUCCAGAAAAGAUUUGACAUCAGGGCACAAACAAGAUUGGAUCAGGAUGAAGAUGUGUGUUUCACAAGAGUUGUGUUCCGAGCUACGGAUGGACAAACACACCAAUAGGCAGAGAAUGGACAGCACAAGCACAUUUGCUUUAUUCAAGCAGAAACCAAAUAAAAUGCAAUGAGUUCAAAUUCAUCUCCACAGUUUAAGUUGUUUUUCUGUCCAGUUGCUGUCCUGUGCUUUAAGACACGUGCCAAUCUGUUAUCAGGUUUAUAAUCAUCCAGACAGCAACAAUCUCUUUUUUUUGUUGACAAAUAUGUUACAUAUACAUUUUCACAACCUGUGUAAUUAGUUUUACAUCAUUCUUUAUCUUUUAUUAGUUAACAUCAAGUGUGUACUGUUUUACGUUUAGGACAUGUA
RNA transcript from Cottoperca gobio, 1862 nucleotides. RefSeq lists it as uncharacterized. The record is from RefSeq and is a predicted model, not a curated record. Lineage: Eukaryota; Metazoa; Chordata; Actinopteri; Perciformes; Bovichtidae. The transcript is spliced from 5 exons.